Molecule: ribosomal RNA, 588 nt
Filed under: Hanseniaspora opuntiae
Lineage: Eukaryota; Fungi; Ascomycota; Saccharomycetes; Saccharomycodales; Saccharomycodaceae
Description: eukaryotic LSU rRNA
Rfam family: Eukaryotic large subunit ribosomal RNA
Source: RNAcentral
GAGGAAAAGAAACCAACUGGGAUUACCUUAGUAACGGCGAGUGAAGCGGUAAAAGCUCAAAUUUGAAAUCUGGUACUUUCAGUGCCCGAGUUGUAAUUUGUAGAAUUUGUCUUUGAUUAGGUCCUUGUCUAUGUUCCUUGGAACAGGACGUCAUAGAGGGUGAGAAUCCCGUUUGGCGAGGAUACCUUUUCUCUGUAAGACUUUUUCGAAGAGUCGAGUUGUUUGGGAAUGCAGCUCAAAGUGGGUGGUAAAUUCCAUCUAAAGCUAAAUAUUGGCGAGAGACCGAUAGCGAACAAGUACAGUGAUGGAAAGAUGAAAAGAACUUUGAAAAGAGAGUGAAAAAGUACGUGAAAUUGUUGAAAGGGAAGGGCAUUUGAUCAGACAUGGUGUUUUUUGCAUGCACUCGCCUCUCGUGGGCUUGGGCCUCUCAAAAAUUUCACUGGGCCAACAUCAAUUCUGGCAGUAGGAUAAAUCAUUAAGAAUGUAGCUACCUCGGUAGUGUUAUAGCUUAUUGGAAUACUGCUAGCUGGGAUUGAGGACUGCGCUUCGGCAAGGAUGUUGGCAUAAUGGUUAAAUGCCGCCCGUCUG